UCGCUCAACUGUAUUGACUUACAACCCACAACAACAAGUGUGCUGGUACACGCCACUGCGUAGCGGCAACCCGAUCCCGCCCCUGCGUGGCUCUGAUCACAACCCUGGGGCCGCUCCAAAGGGAAAGUCGAUCCCGGGGUCCACACAUUGUGGCCAGGAAAGGACUUUGCGGCGCUAAAAGCCUUUGGAAUCCGAUCCUUAUUCAAGCCUGUAUUCUCAUGUCGGGGUGAGCAAAGUACAGCGGCGGCUUUUCGAGGAACACACACAGACUCUGCUGGAAUAGUUUGUGCCGGAUCAGUUUGUGACUGACAAUUCCGAGUAGUUCAGCGGAAGGCGAGCGGGGAGAGGGGCCGGGGAGCGCCAGGUGUGCCCAGGUGCGGGGGGUUAAGGUGCAGCCGGUGAUCCUCGGCUGGCCCUCCUCCACGGACUCUGGCUUUGAAUGAGGGCUCGCCAGCCAGCCUGCCACAGCCGCAACCCUGAGCCAGAGCCAGAAGGCGCAGCAGGGCGUCCUCCUGGGACAACCUUCUGGACCCGUCCCUCCACUGCAGCUCUGCGCUGGAGCUCAACACGCGCAACACGCCUCCUCAGGACCCCCUCCAGUGCCAGCUCCCUCACCUCGUACUGAGGGCACUGCAGCAGACACUGCAGGAGCCGGCCUGCGGGCCGAGGACCCCCCCAGAGCUCGGGGACGUCCACGCCGGCGCUGAGGGCCAC
Long non-coding RNA from Pungitius pungitius (ninespine stickleback), 714 nucleotides. RefSeq lists it as uncharacterized. The transcript is spliced from 4 exons. NCBI's taxonomy places the organism in Eukaryota, Metazoa, Chordata, Actinopteri, Perciformes, Gasterosteidae. The record is from RefSeq and is a predicted model, not a curated record.